AUCCCAUGAUGAGGACUGGCGGUGACGCAUUCCUGUAGCCUUUCCCAAGCUUCAAGAAUGGUUUCAUACCUCGUCUGCUGCGAACCGAAUAUUCUUCCACGAAGAGU
This 107-nucleotide small nucleolar RNA is filed under the name Oryza longistaminata (longstamen rice). RNAcentral's name for it is "snoRNA snoR71". It matches the Rfam family "Plant small nucleolar RNA R71". From Rfam's summary of the family: R71 is a member of the C/D box family of snoRNAs containing the C (UGAUGA) and D (CUGA) box motifs. Multiple nearly identical copies of this snoRNA have been identified in Arabidopsis, and it is thought to function as a 2'-O-ribose methylation guide for 18S ribosomal RNA. Lineage: Eukaryota; Viridiplantae; Streptophyta; Magnoliopsida; Poales; Poaceae. The record is from RNAcentral.